GGAUGUUGUGAUAGAGGUAUAGAGGUCAGAGGACAGCUUACACAAGUCUAUUCUUUCCUUCCACCAUGUGGAGUCCUGGGGCUUGAGCUCAUGCUAUAAGGCUUGGUGGUAGGCACCUUUACCUGCUGAGCCAUCUACCCACCACACUUCUUGUUUCUUAAUUCUGCUGGUUAGUCUGGGUCUUUUUAGUGAUUAGUUGGGCCUAGUUACAUUUCAGGUUAUCAUUAGGAAGAACUUACUGGGAUCCACUGACCCCUAGUGAUCCUGCCUAGAACCGAGCCUGCCCAUGCCAUCUCCACACCCCCAGGCCUAGCUCCUGACACAAAGCUCGUACACACUGGCUUUUCCUGUGAGUGCCCCAAUAACAAAUCCUGUUUGUAUCAUCUCAAUGCUCCCAGGCCUACCUCUUGGUGUGCAGCUUCAGCACCAGCCAAGCAAGAGGCAGGAUAGAAUCUUACAUCAGACACACAAACAAAGAGCAAAGUCUAUGUGCCCAAGUCACGUUGUAAAAACACCAACAGUAUUAAAGACCAAACAGCAUGCACCCCUAAACCCAUUGAUCCCAUAUAAAUAUUUUCUGAUGAGAAUUACCUAGAUGAACCCCGGAACAUAGAAUUUAUAAGAACAAUCAUAAACUUGGUCAAAGAAUGAAUAGAAUCCAAAGAAGACACAAACAAACUCAAUGGGGAACCAAUAAAUGCCUGAAUGAUGUCUAAGAAAGACAAAUAUAAAGCUAAAUGAAAUGAUAAAAAAAUUCAGGAUUUGAAAACAAAAUCUAGUAAAGAGAUAGAAAUAUUGAUGAGAACUCAAGCUGACGUAAAGAUGGAAUUGAAAAACUCAAACACUCACUUAGAAAACUCAGGGGAAAACUUUGCAAGGAGAAUGGAUCUAGUAGAAGAGAGGACAUCAGAACUUGAAGAUAAAGUAGAGGAAAUAUGCAACUCAAGCAAAGAAUAUUUUAAAAAAUGAAAAACAUAUGAAAGGAACAUGCAGGAACUAUUGGACUAUUGGAAAACAACAAGUCUUCAAUUAUAGGCAUAGAAGAGGAAUCCCAGGUCAAAGGCAUAACCCAGAUUUUCAACUCCCUAACUCUGUUUAUAAAACGCAACAAAAAAACCAAAACUGUUUUCUGUUGAGCAUAGGUCCAAAAGUCCUCAAUAAAAUACCUGCAAGCCAAACACAAGCAUGUAUCAAAAAGAUCAAAUUGGCUUCGUCCUGAAGAUGCAGGGAUGGUUCAAUACCCAUAGGUCAAUCAAUGUGACAAAUCAGGAGACUUAGAGAUAAGAGUCAUGUGAUCAUUUCAAUAGACGCCUAGGAAGCCAUUGACAAAUCCAACUUCAUGACACAAGUCCCAGAGAGAGUAGGACCAGGCACAUAGAUGUCGAUGAAUUUUUCUUUUAAACCCUGGGGUUAGUACACCACCCACCUCUCUUGCCUGUGUCCAUGCCCCGCCCUCAUGUCUGUCUCUGUGUGUGUGUGUGUGUGUGUGUGUGUGUUUGUGUGUCUGUAUCUGAGACCAAGCAUUAGGAGAUAAGAAAAGAAAAAGUAGUGAUGGUUUCCCCAGCUUUUUGGACUGCCACUCUUCUGACUAUAAGGUAUGGGUUCAUAGAUUCAGGUUUAGGUAUCAGAUGUCCUAAGCACUAUCACUGUCAUGGUCUCUUUGCUACUAUGGAGUUAAGUGAAUAUUGACACACAAGAGAACAGUCAAGAACCAGAUUGUAUAUCUUAGAACUCUCCAGUGUACCAGAGUACAACUCUGGGUUUUGGAAUGACUCAGUCCUGGUCCAGGAAAUAGCACAGGAAAACUGGGAAUUUCACCACGAGUUUGGUGGGAUUUAGAGUUCUGGCCCUCUUGGUUUUGUUUGCCUCAUACCAUUUCCUUGUAAGACUCCUCAAAGCUUUGCCCCAUUCAUUUCACACUGAUUUAUUGCUGUAUUCAUGGGUGAGAAAGGACAAGGUGUGUUUGUGUCACCUUCUCUGGAACUUAUCAUUCCUCUUAUGUUCACAGAUCCCUUGCCUGUGUGAAAAUACAGUGGUACCCAUGUGGAAACCCAGUGAAGCACUGUGGUUAGACAUUGUGAUGGCUAAUUCUGGUUGUCAACCUGACUGGCAGCUUAGAGGCAGGUGGGAAAUCCAAAGCAGAUAAACAGAGAGAGGAAAGGAGAGGAGAGAUGCCAGCCUGCCGCAGAAGGAGCAGCAAGAUGCCAGCAGACCGAACCACCUUCUUUGAGAUUCCAGCGUAGACUGAAGAUAAGGAGCUUUCCAAGAGUUCUCUGGAAUCCAGCGCCAGACUGAGACAUCCAGACUCACGAGUGGAACCAACACCAGCUUCUCAGCCUUUCAAGCAUGAGGCAGCCAUUGUUGGACUACUGGGACUACAUCCUUGUACAUAUCACUUCUCAGCACUAGCCAUUAGGUGUGAAGCUUCCAGGAGGAAGUUUCUCUGAUGAUGGCUGAGCAAGGCACUGAUCUAAACAGAGAAUGUUGAUUCACCACCAUGCAGUAGAACACGUCUGCCGCGUCAAUGUCUGAAUGGCCUGUGACAGUGUGGUUGUCUUGGCAAUAGCAGCGGCCACCCACGUAAACAUCUGGAAGGCGAAGUGAGACUCACCCAAAGGAGGAGGUUUUGACUGGGAUUGUGAGCAGGUCAUCAGGAGUGCAGUAGAGGGAGCACACGUAGGCGUGGGCUUUCUUACCUGACUACACUUCUGGGAGUUCUGCAGGAGCAUGCGCCUUGUUGGGUGGCUGUGGAAGUGUGUGAACUGCCAUCUUCUUCUGGAGCUCUCUGCCAGCUGGAGGGCCUGGGCAGGACGGAGCUGAAGUUGAGGGGUGUUGAACAGCUGAGGCGUUUGUCAGCACAAGUGGUAUGAGAAUCCAUGACCUCAGUCUUGAGUCUUCCCAUCUGUGGCCUGGGCAGGGUCGGGCUUCCAGGUAUGUGGUGAAAGGCUGUGAGACAGUCCAUGCUCCUGGGGUGGGGGGGUCAUCUGACUGGUGAUGGGUGUCACUGGCUUGUAAUAGGGAAACUGAGGCUAAGUCUCUUAGAAUUCUUGCAGCAUUUCGAUGGAGUGACUCAUAACUGUUGAACCUAUCAGGAGCUGGACUUUGCAUUUUCCAUGCUGUUUUCAUUUGUCUUUUCUAGAAAUAGAUUAUUUUAUAGUACAAAACCAAAACCCAAACAGUUCCCAAUGAAUUGGAAAUUAAAACGCACUUGGAAGUGUCUUCACUAUGAGGGAUUUGAGAGGCAGUGGGAUAACCCAGAGAACAUAACAAAUGCAAUCACACACAGCAAUGAUCCAGUGUAGAUAAACAGCUGGCUGGGGACAGAGGGUGGGCACAGCAAGUUCAGGGAAUGGAAGACAGUGAAUAAACAGGAAACAUAGAUGUUCAUAUACCUGGGGGUUCCCUGGAGUGGACUGAUGACUUUCGGGGGCUCCUGAUGAAAGGGUGCCUGGGUUGGGGGCCCUUUGAUCUGCAUCAGCUGACGGGGCAGACAUUCUCUGUGUGCUUCAACACAGUCCUCUGCUCCUCUGUGGCCUUUCGUGUGAGUUGGGAAGAGCCCACACAGGCCAGUGUGCCUGACCACAUGGAUACCAUUGUCUGCUCAGCCUGUCUGCCUUUGUUCAUCACAUCCUGGUAGCUGAGAAGGACUCUGCAUUUUCACACAUAACCGUACAAUGAAGGGACUGUGAGACUCGGAAUGAACACUUCCUUUCCCUGAGUCUGUUCUGUCCAUAUGUGAGUCGGAAGCUGGUGACAUGACCUCUAAAGUUCCUUUCUGGCUGGACACUGAGGAGGUCUGCAGGCAACCCUGGUGGUUGCUUUUUGUCCCCUUCAUGGUUUUUUGUGCCUUUUCCUGGCUUUGGUUGCCUGGGUCUGUCCACUCUUCCUAUUUACACCCAUGUCUGAACACACCUACCCCUAAUCUCCCCUGCCUCCGGCAAACAUGCAAGGUCUCCAGCACGUCCCUUGGCCAGCCUGGCAGUGUCCUAGCAUUUCUGUUGCAUCUACUGCAGCUAUAUUGUAAACAAAGGGAUCCCUGCCCAUGCUGUCUCUCCCAGCUGAAGUUCUCAACUCUGACUCAGUGGUUGAAUCAAGGCAAAUCACUCCUCAGGUGUGAAGAAAACUAAGCAUCCGAUACCAUGGUGGCCAACUCUGUGCUUCCUCCCAGAGUCCACAGGGGCUGCCAGGUGGGAGGAUCAUAGAUUGGACAGGUGUGUGCCAGGUUUUCAGACGGGACAACUUUCGAAGGUAUUCUCUCUGAAGAUCUUUAAAUGUUCUCAGUAGAGAAAUACUCUUUUUCAAACAGAGCUUUAUCUGCUAAUCCAGUGCAUAAAAUUUUGUGCAAACAAGUAUUUUAUUAAUGUCCCAUCUUAUUUUUAAACUGAUGGUGUUUUUGUUUGUGAUUAAGAAAACCAGGCAACAGAAGCUUCAGGAGAAGCUGGACAAGAGCUUUCCAAUCUCUAUUUUUUCUCUCAGGGAGUCUCCCAAUCUAAUUCAUAAGGUAGCAAUACAAUAACAUUAAAGGUUUUUUUUUUUUUGAGAAAUAAAUUCAGUAUUGAAUUUAAGGAAGACAAACAAAACAAAACAAAGUAACAACAACAACCAACUUUAAAAGGUUUAUCCAAAAGAAUUUGAAAUGUACUUGGGUAGGGGAAAUGGAAGAAGUAUUUUGUAAUUGACUUAAAAUUCAUACAAAAUCAAAGCAACCAUUUGGGCCACUGUGGGAAGUAUAGUUGGGUGGAUGUUAGGGAAAGCAUUAUUGGCUAAUUGUGGAGCAUUUUGCCAUUCCAAAGGACCCUCCUCACUGUGCAUUGUCUCUUGAAAAUCUUGAUGGAGUUCAAAAGGUAUUUGAAUGAAACGGAAACCAACUGGUAUAACAGAGAUAAUUCUGGUCUUUGACCUCUGCUGUGAGGGGUAAAGGUAGACAGUGACAGGGAAACAGAUGACUUAGGACUUGAAUAAUGUGGCAUUGACCACAAAAAAGGCAAAGCGGGGCAUGAUAGUAGAAAAGGGGACAGAUGCCAAGGCCCUGAGGCAGGUGGUGAACUUAGCUGAUUCUACAGAAACAAGACAUGUG
This is a long non-coding RNA of Peromyscus californicus insignis, 5077 nucleotides long. RefSeq lists it as uncharacterized. The record is from RefSeq and is a predicted model, not a curated record. NCBI's taxonomy places the organism in Eukaryota, Metazoa, Chordata, Mammalia, Rodentia, Cricetidae. The transcript has 7 exons.